Mastomys coucha (southern multimammate mouse) is the source of this 108-nucleotide small nuclear RNA. Lineage: Eukaryota; Metazoa; Chordata; Mammalia; Rodentia; Muridae. The record is from RefSeq and is a predicted model, not a curated record.
GUGCUUGCUUCAGCAGCACAAGGAACUUGAGUUGGAAUAAUACAGAGAAGAUGAGUAUGGCCAUUACUAAAGGAUAACAUGCAGGUUAGAGAAGAGUUCCAUAUUUUU